RNAcentral lists this ribosomal RNA (721 nucleotides) under uncultured bacterium. RNAcentral's name for it is "bacterial SSU rRNA". It matches the Rfam family "Bacterial small subunit ribosomal RNA", at positions 26 to 719 of the family's 1533-position model. The record is from RNAcentral.
AGAAUGAACGCUGGCGGCGUGCUUAACACAUGCAAGUCGCACGAGAACUCUUCUGCUUGCAGAAGAUAGUAAAGUGGCGCACGGGUGAGUAACGCGUGGGUAAUCUACCUCUGAAUUGGGGAUAACAUUGUGAAAGCGAUGCUAAUACCGAAUAAUAUCCCGAGAACCUAGGUUUUUGGGAUCAAAGGUGGCCUCUACAUGUAAGCUACUGUUUAGAGAUGAGCCCGCGUACCAUUAGCUUGUUGGUAGGGUAAUGGCCUACCAAGGCAACGAUGGUUAGCUGGUCUGAGAGGAUGAUCAGCCACACUGGAACUGACACACAGUCCAGACUCCUACGGGAGGCAGCAGUGAGGAAUUUUGCGCAAUGGGGGAAACCCUGACGCAGCAACGCCGCGUGAGUGAUGAAGGCUUUCGAGUCGUAAAGCUCUGUCAAGUGAGAAGAACCUGUCCCGCGAUAAUACCGCGGGAUACUGACGGUAUCACUGAAGGAAGCACCGGCUAACUCCGUGCCAGCAGCCGCGGUAAUACGGGGGGUGCAAGCGUUAUUCGGAAUUAUUGGGCGUAAAGGGCGCGUAGGCGGUCUUUUAAGUCAGAUGUGAAAGCCCGGGGCUCAACCCCGGAAGAGCAUUUGAAACUAAUGGACUUGAGUAUGGGAGAGGGAAGUGGAAUUCCUGGUGUAGAGGUGAAAUUCGUAGAUAUCAGGAGGAACACCUGUGGCGAA